This 234-nucleotide ribosomal RNA is filed under the name uncultured bacterium. RNAcentral's name for it is "partial 16S ribosomal RNA". It matches the Rfam family "Bacterial small subunit ribosomal RNA", at positions 118 to 350 of the family's 1533-position model. The record is from RNAcentral.
UGGGCAACCUGCCCCUCUCUCUGGGAUAACCCCCGGGGAAACCGGAGCUAAUACCGGAUACUCUCGGCCGAUCACAUGGCUGGCCGAGGAAAGGUCCGCCGGUCAGGGAUGGGCCCGCGGCCUAUCAGCUUGUUGGUGGGGUCAUGGCUCACCAAGGCGACGACGGGUAGCCGGCCUGAGAGGGCGACCGGCCACACUGGGACUGAGACACGGCCCAGACUCCUACGGGAGGCA